AAGACUGUUUUUCACGUAUUAAAAUAGGUAACAUGUUUUCACAAAUUCAAAAUAAAUGAACACAACAGUCAUUUUUCUAACUCUCUAAAACUUAUUUUAGAAGAUGUAACUUUAAAGGAAUGGCCAUCAUAAAAAGAUCAUUUGCCUUAGUUAAACUGAAUAACUUGAUGACUGUGUAUUUUAACAAAAAGUUUUAUGACUAUUUAAUACAAUUCAUAUUUAACAGAAAAUCAUUACACAUAGAAGGCCCAUACAAUUUUCAGUUAUAAUUUCUAUGUUGUUUUAGUCAAAACAGUCAAUGGGACCCAACAAUAUAGUAUUAUGGGUUGCUAUGUCUGGUUCUUAUUAUUCCUUACUUAGUUUAACCGGUUAUAUCUCCUAACCUCAUCUCUCUCUUAAGACUUCAGAGAGUCUUCUGUCCUGCGAUCAUUUGCCUGGCAGUAAUUUGCAAGUUAAUAAGUAUUCAAAUUUAAAAUCACCUGAUUUUGGCUUUUGUUACCCAGUCUGUACCUUUAAAUUAUACCAUAAAGCUUUUCCUAUAACCACAAUAACAGGUCUCAGUCUCAGAGGAACAAGGCACAAUGAUCUCUUUUCCAGGAUUUCUCUCCUACUACUGCCCAGAGAAGGAAAUGGCAACCCACUCCAGUAUUCUUGUCUGGGAAAUCCCAUGGACAGAGGAGCCUGAUGGAUUCACUGGGUUGCAAAGAGUCAGACAUGACUGAGAGACUAAAACAAAACAGCUGCCCAGAUGCUGCCAUGGAACAGAAUACUGAGCAGCCUUGAUACUUAUACUAAUUUUUUAACCUAUUAUUAUUAUAACUAUUAUUGUUGGCAUUACUUGGCAGGCGGGGGUGCUUUUAGAAGGUUGCCAAAAAAUAAAAUGAGAAUAGAUGUGAAAGCACUUCAAAAGUAUAUAAAGUAUUUUUAAAAAACCAAAAAAUAAGAGACAGAACAAUUUGCCCAACCUGUAUCCUAUUUUUAAACAUGUUGGACAAAAGGAAGUUUGCUAUCAGAGUGUAAAACCAUAACUACCUUGUUAUAAAUUCUAUCCGUUAUCACACAGAGCUAUUAACAGCCUUUUUCUUUUAAUGCUUUGUCAUUAUUUGCACUUUAUAUCUUGCUUAAGGUAAAAGUUACUGCUACCCAAUAAAACCAAGGGUUUGCUCUUAUAAGCAAACCUCAAAUAGAAAAGUUUUAUUACCAUCUCCAUCAGCAAUACUGUUAUCACAGGGGAAACCUCUUAAUGUGUCCUUGUCCAGCCAAAAAUACAAGUAUGUUCCUCUAUAUAAUGUACCUCAACCAUUAAAAUCUAUUUGUUCCCUUUCAAUGUAACAGAAAAACAAUGUAUUUGAGUUCUCACCUUUGCUAUUCCACUUACUUUCUUUUUAUUUUGCCAAAUCUGCCUCUGUGAACUAAAAUUACUCAAGUCAUUUCUGCCAUCUCUACAAUAUCUCCUUAAAAUGUCUGAUUCUAUAAACAAGGAAAGUCUGACUACGGAUAUUACUUUAUCUAUAAAGAUUCAACUACUGAAUUACAAAAAUACAUUUAUAAAGUUCUUUUAACCAAUGAUUCAAGGCAUUAUAAAGAUGCAGUGUAAUUUUAAAUUGGUAGUAUAAAUCUCAUAUCGACGAUAUAAUUUUUCAGCAAAAUAAUUGUUUUAAUGUUUCUGAAGUUAGUCAUCCCUAAAAAUAUUCUGCUUGGAUAUCUGCACAUUUAUUGGUACAAUGUGGUUUCUUCUGGCACUCCCUAGUUAAUGAAACAAUCCUGCUUCAAGAUUUUGUUUUUCUGCUUUAAUUAACCCACAACCUGACCACUUAAUGGAUUCGUAUGGACUAUAGUUAAAGGGAAAUGUGUAUUCAUCAUUAAGUACACAUAGAAUUUUAAAUUGUUCAAGAGUUAAAAAGCACCCAAAUUACUGUUGUUUUUCAGAGUAUGCGAGUACAUAGGCAAUAUUAUUUAAAAUGCUAAACUUUACUUGAACCAGUUUUUGCCUUUUAAUUGAGGUUUGUCCUGGUUUCCAAACACCAGAUAUUCCAAACUCGUAAAUUAGUGUCAUUAAGUAACAAAGAAUUUCUUUUAAAAGUGUUAGUUCCUAGUACAAUAUUGGAAAAUAAAUUGGAUUAAUUUCUACACCGCAUACCAUAUGAACAUCCAAAGCAGCAAAAACACUCUCUACUUAGAACUUUAAUUUUUUAAUACCCAGUUUGCACGAAGCCUCUUCACAUUACUCACAAUUCCCCUAACAAUUAAUGUACUGUAGACGUAAGAUCCUACGUCGAAGGUUUAGGCACUUUCUCUAUUUCUUUGAAAAGCUGUGUGUCUCAAACAUUUAUUAUAGGAAAACAUAAUGAAAUAUUGAAGCUGUGUUUCUAACAUGUCCUGAAUGCUCGAUGAACAAAAUACUACCAAAAUCAAACCCUCUACAGCUAGCAGUUAAUAAAGCUUUUUAAAAAAAAUAACUGACAAUAAUGCAUGUACCUUCUUAAAUACAGAAGCGAUUAGACAUCUGAACUUAAAAUUGUUUUUACAAAUAAAAAUAAAAGACGGCACGUCUAUUCCCCCCUAACAAUGACCGGCAAACCCCAGCUGCUACGUCCCAACAAAAACUUGCGGCUGAGAAGGCAACCCCGACUGGGCACGAAAUUACAGUAGACAGAAAAGGACCUAGAAAUAAAAGUGAGCUCUGCACGCGCCUGCCUCUCGCCUCGGGAGCACGCACCUCCCAGCCCCGCUCUCAGCCGCUCUCACUAUUUAAAGCCGGAUCUGGUGUUUAAAUGGAGAGGCGGUGACGUAGGCCUGAAAAGCACCUUCCCAUCCUGGCAGAGUCUAUAUUAGAGAGCGGCAAUGGCUCUAUAUAAACAGGGCAGCCAAAGGGAGGAGGACCACAAGGCUCAGGGACUGAAAAGCAGGGUAAGCGGCCGCAGCCAUGAUGGAUCGACCCGAGUCGUCAACGAUCAUGUUACAGAGAGGGCAAUGGCACCCCACUCCAGUAAUCUUGCCUGGAAAAUCCCAUGGAUGGAGGAGCCUGAAAAUAAAAACGGAAUUCCUGUGUUCCUGUGUCUGCUCAGACCUCUCAGUCACACCUGUGUCUUCCCUGCACGUAUCUCUAGAUAGACAUCCAUCUCCAGAAUGCUUCAUCUCGCGGAAGUGGAACUCUGGGUGCAGUAAACAGCAGUUCCCCACUCCCCUUUAACCCCAGCUCCUGGCAACAAUCGGUCUGCUUUGUGUCUCUGAUCUGGACUACAAUAAGUACCUCAUAUAAGUGUGAUCCGUAGAUAUUUGUUGUUGUUUUAAACUGAAUUAUAGCUGAUGUAUAAUAUUAUGUAAGUUAAGGUGUACCGUAUAGUGAUUCACAAUUUUUAAAGGUUACAGUCCCUUUAUAGUUAUUAUAAAAUAUUGGCUAUAUUCUGUGUUGUACAGUAUAUUCUUAUAGCUUAUUUUAUCUACAAUAGUUUGUAUCUCUUAAUCUCCUACCCUUAUGUUGCCCCUCCAUAGCCACUGUUAGUUCUGUAUAUCUGUGAGUCUUUUUUUGGUUAUAUUUUGUUAUAGUUUUAUAUUUUAGAUUACACACAUAAGUGAUAUCAUACAGUAUUUGUCUUUUUCUGACUUAAUUUCACUUUGCUAAAUUACCCUCCAAGUCCAUUUGUGGUUGCAAAUGGCAAAAUUUCCUUCAUUUUUAUGACUGAGUAGUAUUCCAUUAUAUUUCACACCUUAUUUUCUUCACCUGUCUGUUGACGGACACUUAGUUUGCCUCAGUAGCUUGACAAUUUUAAGUAAUACUGAUAUGAACAUUGGGGUGCAUGUAUCUUUUCAAAUUAGUGGCUUCAUUUUUUUUUUCAAAUAUAUGCUCAGGGCUGGUGCACUGGGAAGACCCAGAGAGAUGGGAUGGAGAAGGAGGCAGGAGGAGGGAUCAGGAUGGGGAACACAUGUAAAUCCAUGGCUGAUUCAUGUCAAUGUAUGGCAAAAACCACUACAAUAUU
This is a long non-coding RNA of Dama dama (fallow deer), 3980 nucleotides long. RefSeq lists it as uncharacterized. NCBI's taxonomy places the organism in Eukaryota, Metazoa, Chordata, Mammalia, Artiodactyla, Cervidae. The record is from RefSeq and is a predicted model, not a curated record. The transcript is spliced from 4 exons.